GGGUCGUGCACGCUCGAGCACUCUCACACAUCCAUCUCACCCCUUUGUGCAUCACCGCGUGGGUCCCCCUUUGCAGGAGGGCUCGCGUUUUCACACAAAACUUGAUACAGUGUAGAAUGUUAUCUUUUUGCGGUCACACGCAAUCAAUACAACUUUCAACAACGGAUCUCUUGGCUCUCGCAUCGAUGAAGAACGCAGCGAAAUGCGAUACGUAAUGUGAAUUGCAGAAUUCAGUGAAUCAUCGAAUCUUUGAACGCACCUUGCGCCCCUUGGCAUUCCGAGGGGCACACCCGUUUGAGUGUCGUGAAAUCAUCAAAUACCUUUUUCUGUUUACUGAAAAGGGUUUUUGGACUUGGAGGUUCAAUGCUUGCCUUUCACUUUUGAAAAGCGAGCUCCUCUCAAAUGAAUUAGUGGGGUUCGCUUUGCUGAUCCUCGACGUGAUAAGAUGUUUCUACGUUUUGGAUUUGGCACUGACGCCUGCUUCUAACUGUCCUCACGGACAACGAUGGUGCUCCGGUCGCCACCGUCCGCAUUGGCGGAGGAGGGCUGGACCCACGAAAGAAAACCUUGACCUCAAAUCGGGUGAGACUACCCGCUGAACUUAAGCAUAUCA
Molecule: ribosomal RNA, 613 nt
Filed under: uncultured Russula
Lineage: Eukaryota; Fungi; Basidiomycota; Agaricomycetes; Russulales; Russulaceae
Description: eukaryotic LSU rRNA
Rfam family: 5.8S ribosomal RNA (bases 151-304)
Source: RNAcentral